This 477-nucleotide ribosomal RNA is filed under the name uncultured bacterium. RNAcentral's name for it is "partial 16S ribosomal RNA". It matches the Rfam family "Bacterial small subunit ribosomal RNA", at positions 28 to 507 of the family's 1533-position model. The record is from RNAcentral.
GAUGAACGCUGGCGGCGUGCCUAACACAUGCAAGUCGAACGAAGCACCUUACCUGAUUCUUCGGAUGAAAGUUUGGUGACUGAGUGGCGGACGUGUGCGUAACGCGUGGGUAACCUGCCCUGUACAGGGGGAUAACAGCUGGAAACGGCUGCUAAUACCGCAUAAGCGCACGAGGAGACAUCUCCUUGUGUGAAAAACUCCGGUGGUACAGGAUGGGCCCGCGUCUGAUUAGCUGGUUGGCAGGGUAACGGCCUACCAAGGCAACGAUCAGUAGCCGGUCUGAGAGGAGGAACGGUCACAUUGGAACUGAGACACGGUCCAAACUCCUACGGGAGGCAGCAGUGGGGAAUAUUGCACAAUGGGGGAAACGCUGAUGCAGCAACGGCGCGUGAGUGAAGAAGUAGUUCGGUAUGGAAAGCUCUAGCAGCAGGGAAGAUAAUGACGGUACCUGACGAAGAAGCGCCGGCUAAAUACGUG